UUUUCAGAUUUUAUUGUUUUUUUAUACAUACAUAUAUAAUUUUUUACUGUAAUUUUAAAUUUACAAGUAGUUAUACAUAUUACAAUAAACACGUAUAUUUACAAACAUAAAGAACGAAUAAAAAUGGAUUUAAGUGAUGUUGAAUUAGCAGUUAUAAUGAAUACAUGGAAAGUACCAAUGGGUGAUCCGGAAGGUUCUGGACAAGUUAUAUUAUAUAGAUUCUUUGAAAAAUAUCCUCAUAACAUGGAAUAUUUUGAAGCAUUUAAAGGAAAACCAUUGAAAGAAGCUAAGGAGGAUGCAAAAUUUAAGGCACAUGCUGGUAGAAUUGUUCGAGCCUUUGAUAAUGCAAUUAAAGCAGCUGAGGAACGUGGCAAAGAUGCUGUAUUAAGUAAAGCUCAAUGGGAUAGAUUAGCUAGUAGCCAUUUAAAACGACACAUUCCCAAAGACUCAUUUAUGGAAUUAAAAGGAAUCGUUUUAGAAGUUCUCGCCGAAGUUUGUCAUUUAAAUGAUUUUCAAAGUACAGCUUGGGAAAAGUUACUAAAUUAUCUGUUUGGUGUUAUGCUCGAUCAAAUGACUAAACUUGAAUGAGUAAUAUUUCAUUUUUGUCCAAGAACCAAUAUAUAUGUAUUUACAAAAAUUAUGGGAAACAAUAAUGAGAGAAUAAAAAUCGCAUAUCAAAAAGAAAAUCUAUCAAUUUUAAAUAUGUAGUCAGACAAAUUUGGAAGCCUUGGAAAAUUCCCUCUGGCCUUUAAUAUGUUUUUAUUAAAUUCAACCAAAAUGUUUACUUUGUGUUUUAUGUUGUUCACUAAAAAAGUUUUUGUCUUUAUUUUUUUUUUAUUAAAGCGAUUGCAUUUUUUUCAAAUAUAAAAAUAUCAAAUUUGUUGCUCCUUUGCAAAUUUAGUUGGAAAAUUGUAAUUUUGUAAUACAUGUAUGUAUAUAUUAUGUAAAUGUCUAGGUCUGCGUUUGUGUUAAGAAAAUUAAAAAAAGGAUGUUCACAAAAUCAAGAAACCAUAUUGUGAAAAAAUAAACGAAAUAAAAGAAUAUAAUAGUUUAAGAUAAAUAUUUUAUGUGAAAACGAUUAACGGGUUAAAAAAUUUUUGAAAUUAAUUGAAAUAAAUGCACAUAUUUCUUAAAUGUAAAUAAGACAAAGGUUUUUUAAUUUAAUCAUAUUUAGUUAUCUAAAAGUAGGCAUUGGAGCUUUUAAAAUCGCUCGUAUUACAAAAUUGAAUUUAAGUGUAAGUGAACUAGUUCGUUUGUUGUAUUAUUGAAUUCUAAAAUCUAAUUAAAAUGUUAGAAUUUUAGUAUUAAAAUUUACAGUGCAGUUAAAGAUUUUCUUUUGUUUCUCGUCCUAAGGCGUUUCACCAAGCCUUAAAUUAUCACCAUUAAAUUUAGAAAAAAUGUUGCUAAAUAAACUGAUAAUUAAAUUUUAAUUUCAUAGAUUACAUCAAAGUUACCAAUCAUAGAGCACAUUUGAAUUUGAAGAGAAUGCACCUUCGACAGCUAAUUAAAUAACAAUAUGAAAUAAAGUAAUUAAACCGAAUAUUAAAUUCUCAUUAAAUACUUACUUAAAUUUUCGCUAUAUUCUAGUAAAUUUUUCGAAUUAAAUUUUGAUUAAUAAUUUCGUAACAUAUGUACAUCAAUAUUUUUCACAAUCUUCUGCACUCUAGAUUCACGCAUUUUUAGAUUGCCGGUUGAACUCCGUAAUUUUUGAUUAUUUAAUUAAUCAUUCCCGUAAUUUCAUUCCUUGGUAACUAUUAAAUGACCAAAACCAAAUUGGGUGAUAUAUUAAUAUAAUUGAUGGAUUUAUUGGAAGUAAAAGUCAAUUUUACUUUCGGUAGUUACCACUAAAAUUAUUUAGCCAUUAAAUUUAUUUUAUAUAUAAUAUGUAAAUCAAUUGAUAUUUUUUCCAUUUGUAUUUUUCAUUCAACAGGUGAAAAAAAUUGGUUUGAAAAUGGAUAUGAGCGAUUGCGAAAUGGGUGUUGUGAUGGCGAGUUGGAAAGUUCUUAUGGAGAAUCCAGAAGAAACUGGGAAAGCAGUGUUGGGGAAAUUUUUUGAAGAGCAUCCACAGUAUGUAGAAUAUUUUAAUGCUUUCCGGGGAAAAACAUUAGCGGAAAUAAAAAAUAUUACAUUUUUGUAUUCAGCAAGAACCGAAAUUUGCCUUUCAUGCGGGUAAAAUUGUUUAUGCAUUUGAUAAUGCAAUAAAAGCAGCAGAGGAACGAGGACGUGAUGCCAUACUUGGUAAAGCAUCUUGGGAUAAAUUAGCAAAGGAUCAUUUGGAAAGAAAAAUUCCGAAACAAGCUUUUAAAGAUUUACAAACAGUAAUGUUGAAUGUUAUAGCAGAUGUCUGCAAUUUGAAUCAAUUCCAAAGAAAUGCAUGGGAGAAAUUAUUAAAAUAUUUAUUUGGUAUCAUAACAUCAAUUUUAAAUUAAUUUACUAUAAUUACGUAUAUGGUUUUUAUGUUUAUUUUAAAAAGUGUUCGAGAAAAACCGCACGAUGAAAUUUAAGGAAUUCCAAGGAGUUCAUCAACUAAAAAAUCAUAAUUUAUAACAUAAAACUAUACUUUAAUGAUAGUUGAAAGUAAAUGUAUCUCUAUCAGCUUAAUGUAAUGAUCUAAAAAUUUCCUAAUUGGUGUUCUGAUUUGUGUACAAAUUAUUAUUAUAAAAAAAUAUAAGUGAGUUGAU
This is an RNA transcript of Condylostylus longicornis, 2681 nucleotides long. It is a transcript of the gene named cytoglobin-1, with no coding region annotated. The record is from RefSeq and is a predicted model, not a curated record. The transcript has 5 exons. Lineage: Eukaryota; Metazoa; Arthropoda; Insecta; Diptera; Dolichopodidae.